GGUAGUAUGGCUGAGAUAGCGGUAGGCUGUAAACCUACACACAGGAUAUAACCUUACUGCCA
Molecule: transfer RNA, 62 nt
Filed under: Bungarus multicinctus (many-banded krait)
Lineage: Eukaryota; Metazoa; Chordata; Lepidosauria; Squamata; Elapidae
Description: tRNA-Tyr
Rfam family: tRNA
About the family: Transfer RNA (tRNA) molecules are approximately 80 nucleotides in length.
Source: RNAcentral